This is a long non-coding RNA of Homo sapiens (human), 760 nucleotides long. RefSeq annotates it as long independently transcribed non-coding RNA 1050. The record is from RefSeq and is marked validated. Lineage: Eukaryota; Metazoa; Chordata; Mammalia; Primates; Hominidae. The transcript is spliced from 3 exons.
CUUCACUGUACUGCUCAGACCUCUCCAUCCUGGUGGCAAGGGCUUAGACCAUUAUUCAUGGUCUGACUGGCCUCGAGGUGGCUGUCUCGCCUUUGAAAAAGGGCAGACACAGAGCAUGUUCAGAGCACGGAGCCAUACUGUGCGAUUUCUUCAAAGAGAGCUUAACCACAGAAUUUGGAUUAAUGAAUGACGUAACUGCUUCAGGGCAACACACCCUCACUGCAGCUGCUUAGCCCAGGAAGCAGCAAGGUCAAUACAAGGAGAGCCACAGGCCUGGGGAGAUGCAUGCCUUCCUUCCUGGCCACGUGGAUCUCACUACUUAGCCCAGAUGGCCUGCGAGAAGGACAAAGCCAAGCACUUCACAACACUGUCAGUUGCUGUCCUGAAGAAGGUGGCCAGGAGCUCUAGAAGGAUUCAAAGCCCCAGGGAUUUUUGGUUUUUAUGUAUACACUUCUCUUUACAUACUUGUUCCUCAACAUCCAAUCAGCCUUGCAGGGAUGAUGUAAUAGCCAGAAAAAUAAGUGAACAGAAGAUUCCGGGUUCUACUUUAUGCCAAUUUUUCUUAAAUAUCUCAGUCACUAGAAAAAGAUCUAUUUGAAAAUCUUGCUCUGAGCAGUUUCUGUCUUGGGCCCAGUUGUUUGAGGAGCCUGUUGAAUUUUUAAAUUUAUUAGUGUUCCCAUGCUUCAUUCAUUGGCAUAUAUGUAUAUUCUCUAUACUUUAUAAUUACAAGUAAGCUCUUGAUAAUAAAAAGUAACUGUCA